AGCCUAACACAUAGUACGUGUUUGUUGGCGAUUGAAAGAGUUUUGAUAAUGAUGCAGCUAUCUUAGAGAAGUUGGACACCAAACACAGAUAGUAUGACGAAAAGCCGAAGGAACUGCACACUUCUAUUUUUUAGUGUGUGCCACGCUGUACUCAGUCCUGUAGCUAUUGGACUGAUCACCACAUCUUUAAACACCAGCAGACUGCUGUGCCUUUCUAGAUUGGUGACCAAACAAGUCAAUUAAAAUGUGUGGCUACUAAAAUUGGAUCAUGA
This is a long non-coding RNA of Limulus polyphemus (Atlantic horseshoe crab), 272 nucleotides long. RefSeq lists it as uncharacterized. The record is from RefSeq and is a predicted model, not a curated record. NCBI's taxonomy places the organism in Eukaryota, Metazoa, Arthropoda, Merostomata, Xiphosura, Limulidae. The transcript has 4 exons.